GACGAACGCUGGCGGCGUGCCUAAUACAUGCGAGUAGAACGCUGAAGGAGGAGCUUGCUUCUCCGGAUGAGUUGCGAACGGGUGAGUAACGCGUAGGUAACCUGCCUGGUAGCGGGGGAUAACUAUUGGAAACGAUAGCUAAUACCGCAUAAGAGUAGAUGUUGCAUGACAUUUGCUUAAAAGGUGCAAUUGCAUUACUACCAGAUGGACCUGCGUUGUAUUAGCUAGUUGGUGAGGUAACGGCUCACCAAGGCGACGAUACAUAGCCGACCUGAGAGGGUGAUCGGCCACACUGGGACUGAGACACGGCCCAGACUCCUACGGGAAGCAGCAGUAGGGAAUCUUCGGCAAUGGACGGAAGUCUGACCGAGCAACGCCGCGUGAGUGAAGAAGGUUUUCGGAUCGUAAAGCUCUGUUGUAAGAGAAGAACGAGUGUGAGAGUGGAAAGUUCACACUGUGACGGUAUCUUACCAGAAAGGGACGGCUAACUACGUG
This 495-nucleotide ribosomal RNA is filed under the name uncultured bacterium. RNAcentral describes it as "partial 16S ribosomal RNA". It matches the Rfam family "Bacterial small subunit ribosomal RNA", at positions 28 to 507 of the family's 1533-position model. The record is from RNAcentral.